This 492-nucleotide ribosomal RNA is filed under the name uncultured bacterium. RNAcentral describes it as "partial 16S ribosomal RNA". It matches the Rfam family "Bacterial small subunit ribosomal RNA", at positions 29 to 507 of the family's 1533-position model. The record is from RNAcentral.
AGUGAACGCUGGCGGUAGGCCUAACGCAUGCAAGUCGAACGGCAGCACAGUAAGAGCUUGCUCUUACGGGUGGCGAGUGGCGGACGGGUGAGGAAUACAUCGGAAUCUACUUUUUCGUGGGGGAUAACGUAGGGAAACUUACGCUAAUACCGCAUACGACCUACGGGUGAAAGCAGGGGAUCUUCGGACCUUGCGCGAUUGAAUGAGCCGAUGUCGGAUUAGCUAGUUGGCGGGGUAAAGGCCCACCAAGGCGACGAUCCGUAGCUGGUCUGAGAGGAUGAUCAGCCACACUGGAACUGAGACACGGUCCAGACUCCUACGGGAGGCAGCAGUGGGGAAUAUUGGACAAUGGGCGCAAGCCUGAUCCAGCCAUACCGCGUGGGUGAAGAAGGCCUUCGGGUUGUAAAGCCCUUUUGUUGGGAAAGAAAAGCAGCAGGUUAAUACCCCGCUGUUCUGACGGUACCCAAAGAAUGAGCACCGGCUAACUUCGUG